UACGUAGGGGGCAAGCGUUGUCCGGAUUUAUUGGGCGUAAAGCGCUCGCAGGUGGUUCGUCGCGUCGUGCGUGAAAGACCCCGGCUCAACUGGGGGAGGUCGUGCGAUACGGGCGGACUGGAGGCCAGUAGGGGGAUGCGGAAUUCCUGGUGUAGCGGUGAAAUGCGCAGAUAUCAGGAAGAACACCCGUGGCGAAGGCGGUUCUCUGGGACGGUACUGACGCUGAGACGCGAAAGCGUGGGGAGCGAACAGG
RNAcentral lists this ribosomal RNA (253 nucleotides) under uncultured bacterium. RNAcentral's name for it is "partial 16S ribosomal RNA". It matches the Rfam family "Bacterial small subunit ribosomal RNA", at positions 524 to 776 of the family's 1533-position model. The record is from RNAcentral.